RNAcentral lists this unclassified non-coding RNA (20 nucleotides) under Mus musculus (house mouse). RNAcentral describes it as "oocyte_clustered_small_RNA13960". Lineage: Eukaryota; Metazoa; Chordata; Mammalia; Rodentia; Muridae. The record is from RNAcentral.
UUGUCUCCGAAGUGGCACCU